Molecule: ribosomal RNA, 253 nt
Filed under: uncultured bacterium
Lineage: Bacteria
Description: partial 16S ribosomal RNA
Rfam family: Bacterial small subunit ribosomal RNA
Source: RNAcentral
UACGGAGGGUGCAAGCGUUGCUCGGAAUUAUUGGGCGUAAAGGGUAGGUAGGUGGUCUCGUUUGUCUGGGGUGAAAGCCUUGAGCUUAACUCAAGAAGUGCCCCAGAAACGGCGAGACUGGAGUCUUGGAGAGGGUCGUGGAAUUCCCGGUGUAGCGGUGAAAUGCGUAGAGAUCGGGAGGAACACCAGAGGCGAAGGCGGCGACCUGGACAAGUACUGACACUCAACUACGAAAGCGUGGGGAGCAAACAGG